AGAAGCUUUGAUUGAAUAUGAUAUGAUCACCCAAUGUACUAGUAAUCUGUUACAACCAAGUAUAGACGAGUAACCCAUGAGUUCCCCAAAAAGACAUCGACAUAAGAAGUUCAAUGCACAAAAUUUCAAAAGUUACAAAUCGUAAUAAAACCCAAAAAAGAAGACUUAGCAAAAUAAUUGAUUUCGCCUUUUCCACAGAGUAAUAUGAUCCAAGAAGCAAAGCCUCUGCCAAGCAAAUUACCAGCAUAUCAGGAUAUCUUCGCCUUAGAGAAGUCCAUUUCUGGAUGCUGCAGCACAUCAAGAACAACAUGAGUCAAGCAAGCUGACGAGAACUAGAUAAAGGAGACAACAAACAAUACAUGAAAUCAACUUUACCUCUGCCAUAAAUUUCUUGAGAAUUUCUUGUUUCUGUGUCUCAUCACUUGUUGGAAGACCCAUUGAUUUCUGUCGCUGAUCAAACUGCAAAAAGCAUUUCCCAUCAAGCAAAUAGAAGUAACUAAAAUCAAGCAAAUAGAAGUAACGAAAAUCAUACACAAUACCACAAGGAAUAAAUUACAACAAAGGGGAUAUCAUGAAGAAGCAACUAAAGUUGUAGGAGGCAAGACAAUUAACAUUCCAAAUAGAUGGUCCAUACAAAGAUAAAACACAUAACCUUCUACCUCAUAACCUCAUAAGUCAUACCAAUUACCAAGUGUGAGUCAAUUGGUUAGUUACCAACAUAAGCUUCAGGGAUAUCACAGGAUACCCCAUAUCCCCCAAGCAAGAAACAACAAAAAUUAAUGAAUCUUAAUGGGGAUAAACUACAAAGAUAUCGGAAUCUGAAAUAACCCUUUUUACUAAUCCAAGCUAUCAAUUUGGCACAGAAAAUUUUACAAAUUCAUGAAGCUUAGGCCUACGCAACACAUCAAACCCAGCGGAAUACCACUAGUGGGGACGCUAUGGCCUAUGCGAAGUGUAUUAAUUUCUGGAGUACUUCCCAGAUAGUGCUUACACAAAAAACUUCAAAAUUUAUGUAGAAACACUUAAUCAAGUUUUUUGUACACUUAAUUUGUGAGGUGCAAGUGUAGGCAACAAUGUUUAGAAUUAAGCUUCAAGAAAAAGUUUUACAACUUGAUAUAAUAGAAGGCAUUACUUUGGAUCAUAAGAAGGGCACACAAAAUUGCUAGCCUUAAAAAUAUAGGUAUGCCAAAACUGGUCCAAACUAAAACUGACAUCCCAGAGUCUUACAACCACCUCAAAGAGUGUUUUAAAGACAAGCACAUAAUUCCACAUUCAAAUUUGAACAAUAUGUUUUUAAUGUCAAAUGCACUACUCCACUCACAAGAAGGCCUCAUCAGAAACAGUACUAAGGAUCUGUUAUUGGACAUAGGAUAAUGAACAGCCCAUAAAUCAUAACGUACAUGAUAUGCACAAAGCAUGCCAAACCCUACCAUGAGAAUUAGGUAAAAAAAUCACGCAAGCAAUUAUGUCAACAAAGAGCAAGAUUCAAAGUGAGCAUGAAACUAUAAUGAUCUCUAUGAAUUCUAAAAUGUUGAUUGACAAAUAAAAUCCUACCAUCAUCUUUUCCACAGUUGAUCGCGUCUCGGGGUCCAAAUCUGCUAGCUUGCUACUUUCAGGUUCUGCUUUCUGUGUAUCAAUUUCAGGCUCACCUUUUACACAACACUUCCACCAGUCCAUCUGAUCCUUCUUGGUUAG
Molecule: long non-coding RNA, 1695 nt
Filed under: Nicotiana benthamiana
Lineage: Eukaryota; Viridiplantae; Streptophyta; Magnoliopsida; Solanales; Solanaceae
Description: long non-coding RNA (NBEN_LNC037736)
Source: RNAcentral